Molecule: ribosomal RNA, 164 nt
Filed under: Stipa lipskyi
Lineage: Eukaryota; Viridiplantae; Streptophyta; Magnoliopsida; Poales; Poaceae
Description: 5.8S ribosomal RNA
Rfam family: 5.8S ribosomal RNA
About the family: 5.8S ribosomal RNA (5.8S rRNA) is a component of the large subunit of the eukaryotic ribosome.
Source: RNAcentral
ACACGACUCUCGGCAACGGAUAUCUCGGCUCUCGCAUCGAUGAAGAACGUAGCGAAAUGCGAUACCUGGUGUGAAUUGCAGAAUCCCGCGAACCAUCGAGUCUUUGAACGCAAGUUGCGCCCGAGGCCACCCGGCCGAGGGCACGCCUGCCUGGGCGUCACGCC